AGCAGCCGCGGUAAUUCCAGCUCCAAUAGCGUAUAUUAAAGUUGUUGCAGUUAAAAAGCUCGUAGUUGAAUUUCGAGACCGGCUUAUUGGUCGUGCUUUUGUACGUACUGGUAUAAUCGGUUUCUCCUUUCUGACGAACUAUAAUGCCAUUAAUUUGGUGUUAUAGGGAAUCAGGACUGUUACUUUGAAAAAAUUAGAGUGUUUAAAGCAGGCUCACGCUUGAAUACAUUAGCAUGGAAUAACGGAAUAGGACGUUUGAUUCUAUUUUGUUGGUUUCUAGGAUCGACGUAAUGAUUAAUAGGGAUAGUUGGGGGCAUUAGUAUUCAAUUGUCAGAGGUGAAAUUCUUGGAUUUAUUGAAGACUAACUACUGCGAAAGCAUUUGCCAAGGAUGUUUUCAUUAAUCAAGAACGAAAGUUAGGGGAUCGAAGACGAUCAGAUACCGUCGUAGUCUUAACCAUAAACCUAUGCCGACUAGGGAUCGGAUGAUGUUAAUUUUUUAAUGACUCAUUCGGCGCCUUA
This 520-nucleotide ribosomal RNA is filed under the name uncultured Glomeromycotina. Its description in RNAcentral is "SSU rRNA". It matches the Rfam family "Eukaryotic small subunit ribosomal RNA", at positions 569 to 1090 of the family's 1831-position model. The record is from RNAcentral. Lineage: Eukaryota; Fungi; Glomeromycota.